GUCCAAGGAUUCGACCGGAAGGAAUUCAAAUCCUCUAUAAAGAGGCAAGAUCAAAGGUCCAACACACAUGAAAAGCAGGUCAAGUCUGUCGAAGACAUAUAGUUUUGGACCGUUGGUUUGUAAAUUAUUUUCUUAUGUAUAUAUAGUAGUUUUUUUAAUAGGAAAUUAGGGUCACAAAUCACAUGCAAAAUUUCUUCACACUCGAAUUAUCCAAGCGUAGAGAGAAAAGAGUCAAAAGAACGUAUGUAACUGAUUUGAUGAACCGUCUUUAUUAAUGAAAUGCAAACUAUUUUCUU
RNAcentral lists this long non-coding RNA (296 nucleotides) under Medicago truncatula (barrel medic). Its description in RNAcentral is "lncRNA gene31463". The record is from RNAcentral. Lineage: Eukaryota; Viridiplantae; Streptophyta; Magnoliopsida; Fabales; Fabaceae.